Molecule: ribosomal RNA, 539 nt
Filed under: uncultured bacterium
Lineage: Bacteria
Description: bacterial SSU rRNA
Rfam family: Bacterial small subunit ribosomal RNA
Source: RNAcentral
ACUCAAUAGAUACCCAGGUAGUCCACGCCGUAAACUAUGGAUGCUAGCUGUUAUCGGUAUCGACCCCGGUAGUAGCGAAAGCUAACGCGUUAAGCAUCCCGCCUGUGGAGUACGAGCGCAAGCUUAAAACAUAAAGGAAUUGACGGGGACCCGCACAAGCGGUGGAGCGUGUUGUUUAAUUCGACGGUAAACGAAGAACCUUACCCAGGCUUGACAUCCUGCUAAGAUUUCCGAAAGGAAAUUGUGCCUUCGGGCCGCAGUGACAGGUGCUGCAUGGUCGUCGUCAGCUCGUGUCGUGAGAUGUUUGGUUAAGUCCAUCAACGAGCGCAACCCUUAUAGUCAGUUGGAUUUUUCUGGCUAGACUGCCCCGGUAACGGGGAGGAGGGAGGGGAUGAUGUCAGAUCAUUAUUGCCCUUACGUCUGGGGCUACAAACACGCUACAAUGGCCGGUACAUAGGGCGAGCCAACCCGCGAGGGGAGCAAAUCCCAUCAAAGCCGGUCUCAGUUCGGAUUGUAGGCUGAAACUCGCCUGCAUGAAG